UGGGGAAUAUUGCGCAAUGGGGGAAACCCUGACGCAGCAACGCCGCGUGAAGGAUGAAGGUUUUCGGAUCGUAAACUUCUGUCCUAUGGGAAGAACAAAAUGACGGUACCAUAGGAGGAAGCCACGGCUAACUACGUGCCAGCAGCCGCGGUAAUACGUAGGUGGCAAGCGUUGUCCGGAUUUACUGGGUGUAAAGGGCGUGUAGACGGGAAAGUAAGUCAGAUGUGAAAUACCGAGGCUCAACCUCGGGGCUGCAUUUGAAACUACUUUUCUUGAGUGAUGGAGAGGUAAGCGGAAUUCCUAGUGUAGCGGUGAAAUGCGUAGAUAUUAGGAGGAACACCAGUGGCGAAGGCGGCUUACUGGACAUUAACUGACGUUGAGGCGCGAAAGUGUGGGGAGCAAACA
RNAcentral lists this ribosomal RNA (405 nucleotides) under uncultured Eubacteriales bacterium. RNAcentral's name for it is "uncultured Clostridiales bacterium partial 16S ribosomal RNA". It matches the Rfam family "Bacterial small subunit ribosomal RNA", at positions 355 to 774 of the family's 1533-position model. Lineage: Bacteria; Bacillati; Bacillota; Clostridia; Eubacteriales. The record is from RNAcentral.